This 366-nucleotide RNase P RNA is filed under the name Clostridia bacterium. RNAcentral's name for it is "RNase P RNA component class A". It matches the Rfam family "Bacterial RNase P class A". From Rfam's summary of the family: Ribonuclease P (RNase P) is a ubiquitous endoribonuclease, found in archaea, bacteria and eukarya as well as chloroplasts and mitochondria. Its best characterised activity is the generation of mature 5'-ends of tRNAs by cleaving the 5'-leader elements of precursor-tRNAs. Lineage: Bacteria; Bacillati; Bacillota; Clostridia. The record is from RNAcentral.
GAACUAGGUUGGAUGGUCGCGCAUUGUUAUGCCGAAAGGUAGCAGUGUGAGGAAAGUCCGUGCUUCACAGGGCAGGAUAGCUGAUAACGUCAGCCAGAGGUGACUCUCGGGAAAGUGCAACAGAAAAUUACCGCCUCGUAAGAGGUAAGGAUGAAAACGCGAGGUAAGAGCUCACGAUAUUCUGUGGUAACAUAGAGUAGGUGUAAACCCUAUCUGAAGCAACACCGCAUAUGGAAAUUUUAUUUGCCCGAUAAGGCUUUCGCCGUUUCCAUGGGUGGCACGCAAUUUUGCGGAGCCUUGUGGUGACACAAGGCAAAGAUAGAUGACCGUCGAAUACAGAACACGGCUUAUAGAUUUAGUUCAAUU